This 72-nucleotide transfer RNA is filed under the name Ictidomys tridecemlineatus (thirteen-lined ground squirrel). Its description in RNAcentral is "Spermophilus tridecemlineatus (thirteen-lined ground squirrel) tRNA". It matches the Rfam family "tRNA". From Rfam's summary of the family: Transfer RNA (tRNA) molecules are approximately 80 nucleotides in length. Their secondary structure includes four short double-helical elements and three loops (D, anti-codon, and T loops). Lineage: Eukaryota; Metazoa; Chordata; Mammalia; Rodentia; Sciuridae. The record is from Rfam by way of RNAcentral.
GGUUGUGUGGCUCAGCGGUAGAGCAUUCACCUAGCACAUGAGAGGCCCUGAGUUUGAUCCUCAGCACCACAU